Symphalangus syndactylus (siamang) is the source of this 21919-nucleotide RNA transcript. It is a transcript of the gene named zinc finger and SCAN domain containing 23, with no coding region annotated. NCBI's taxonomy places the organism in Eukaryota, Metazoa, Chordata, Mammalia, Primates, Hylobatidae. The record is from RefSeq and is a predicted model, not a curated record.
UCCCAGCCCUUUGGGAGGUCGAGGUGGCGGAUCACUUGAGGUCAGGAGUUCAAGACCAGCCUCAGUAAGGCAUGGUGGUGUGUGCCUGUAAUGCCAGAUACUCAGGAGGCCGAGACACUUGAACUCGGAAUGCGGAGGUUGCAGUGAGCUGAGAUCGCGUCCACUGCACUCCAGCCUGGAGACUUUGUCAAAAAAGAAAAGAGAGGGAGCUGUUUGAAAGGGCUCCAUCUGACCAAAUUUUAAAUAAUUUGAGCAUCAACAUAAUAAUGACAGUAAUUAUUUGUAAAGGAAUCCAUGAGUUCAUCGUGAUAAAACGAGACAGCAGGGAGAAGAAAAGGUAUUCUUUGCAGGAAAUGGCAACUAAUAAAUGUAUAAAUGUGCUUCAGUUUCCUCACCUGUUACAUGGAGAUAAUUAUACCUAACUCACAGGGUUGUUAUGCGGACGGAGUAAAUGAAUUAAUACGUGUUAAAACAGUAUGUUAGCCGUUAUUAUAUUGCCCCCUAGACGACAAUGUGCCACCUAGCAUCUCACUAAGACUACAGACGGGAUUCAGCGUGACGACCACAGAGGUGAGGAAACCUCCGGCCUUCCUAGAAGGAACACAGCCAGAACCGCUGUUACGCGGAGAGCGGGCCGCGGUGACGCAUUUCCGGCCUUUGUAGUUUACCAUUCUGUGGGCUGCGGUUGUCAAGGAUUCAGAGCCGAUGUGAUCUGCGCUAGGUGGCUUCUCCUCUUACGGAUGCCUCGCCGUUGUUCAACUAGCUAUUACCUGAAGAAUCCAGGCGUGUUCCCACCUGCAAAACUUUGCACUUGCAGUUACCUUUGCAUGGAACAGUCUUUCUCCAGAUAGCCAUGUGACUUGCUCCUCACUUCCUUCAGAUCUCGGGGUUUCCAGAAGAAAAGAUCAAGGGAGAAUUAUCAAGAAUAGAUUCUUUUUCCGAAUAGUUAAACCUUUGAUGGCCAUAACCUUGACCCUUCAGACUGCAGAGAUGCAGGAAGGACUUCUGGCAGUGAAGGUAAAGGAGGAAGAGGAGGAACAUUCCUGUGGGCCAGAAUCAGGCCUGUCAAGAAAUAACCUUCAUACCAGAGAGAUCUUUCGUAGACGCUUCAGGCAGUUCUGCUAUCAGGAGUCCCCUGGGCCCCGGGAGGCUCUUCAAAGACUCCAGGAGCUCUGCCAUCAGUGGCUGAGACCAGAGAUGCACACCAAGGAGCAGAUCCUAGAGCUGCUGGUGCUGGAGCAGUUCCUGACUAUCCUGCCCGAGGAGCUCCAGGCCUGGGUCAGAGAGCACCGUCCUGUGAGUGGAGAGGAGGCAGUGACUGUGCUGGAGGAUUUGGAGAGAGAGCUGGAUGAACCAGGAGAGCAGGUCCUGAGCCAUGCUCAUGAACAGGAAGAGUUUGUAAAGGAGAAGGCAACUCCAGCAGCAGCUCAGGAGUCAUCAAAUGACCAAUUCCAAACCUUGGAAGAGCAACUUCGGUAUAAUUUGCGAGAGGUGUGCCCAGUUCAGGAGAUUGAUGGCAAGGCUGGGACUUGGAAUGUGGAGUUAGCCCCAAAGAGGGAGAUUUCUCAGGAAGUGAAAUCUCUUAUACAAGUUCUUGGAAAACAGAAUGGUAAUAUUACUCAGAUGCCUGAGUAUGGAGAUAUCUGUGACCAUGAGGGCAGAUUGGAAAAGCAAAGGGUGAGCUCUUCAGUGGAGAGACCCUAUAUUUGUAGUGAAUGUGGAAAAAGCUUCACCCAGAAUUCCAUCCUUAUUGAGCACCAGAGAACACACACAGGUGAGAAGCCUUAUGAAUGUGACGAGUGUGGGCGGGCCUUCAGCCAGCGGUCAGGCCUAUUCCAGCAUCAGAGACUCCACACUGGGGAGAAGCGCUACCAGUGCAGUGUUUGUGGCAAAGCCUUCAGCCAGAACGCCGGGCUUUUCCAUCACCUCAGAAUUCACACUGGGGAGAAGCCUUACCAGUGCAAUCAGUGCAAUAAGAGUUUUAGUCGACGUUCAGUCCUCAUUAAGCAUCAGAGAAUUCACACUGGAGAGAGACCUUAUGAAUGUGAAGAAUGUGGCAAGAACUUCAUUUACCAUUGCAACCUAAUUCAGCAUCGGAAAGUCCACCCUGUGGCUGAAUCAAGUUAGCUCCUUGGAAAAGGUAGGGAAUAAUAUUUCUUUCUUUGUCCCUGCUGUGUCCUCUAGCAUAGAAAAGUCCAAGGGAAAGCCAGUAAAAAUUCCCUUAUUUUUAUGCAGAGAGAAGCAUAAUAUCUUAAAUACAUCUGCCGAGUUCUCUGAUCAGUGACAUCCACAGCUUUGUGAUACUGAAUGUUGCCUCUUGUGUUGAUUUCAUCAUGUAUGCUGUAGACCUAGUUUCACACACAUCUGUGCAAGAAGUUUUCUAAGUAUAUUUCAGGAAAACUUCUUCAUCCUAGUUUUUAAAAACUUUAAAAAAAAGUUUAAAAUAAUUGUAUGUAGGCUGAGUACAAAAUAAUCUCAAAGGCAGUUCACUGAGUAUUUAAAAAUUAACUUAAAAAUAAUUGUAAUAAAAUUCGUAAUAUAGGUUUACUGACUUCUUUACAUUCACAUAAAAUAUGAUAAUUUGCUUUGUAACCUACAAAAAGGGGCAGAUGAAUCCUCCUAUAUAAAUGUAGAUUUAUAGUAAGUUAGAUUUCUGUAGAUUUUUUAGUAAGUUAGCCUUUAGGAACCAAGGAAUUGAAGCAGCCAUAUGUUAUUAGCAGCUCAGUGGCUCUUCAUAACAAAUAUUGCUCGUGAUUUUAAAUUUACGCAGAGGCUAAUAAACUUAGCUAAAAAUCUGAUAUCUCGCCUCAGAUUUUUUAUUGGAAAAUAUAGGCCUCUUUGUAUUUUUCCUGUAACAUAUGAGCAUUUUUUUGUUUUUGCCUUUUUCUCCUUUAUUCAAUAUUUUGUAUGGAAAAUUUGAAACAUAUUCAAGAUUGAAGAGUAUGAUCACUCUUUCAUGUUGAUUUUUUUAUAAUCUCCACAUUUCUCAGCAUUUACUAUUGAUUACCACCAAGGUCAUACAUAGGAAAAUUUAUUUCCCUUAACAUUGACUUAGUAACUCUUUACAAAGCUUUACACAAGGUCCAGGAGACAAAGAAAUGGAAAACCUAUGGUGAAAACAAUGUGGUUUAGAAUACACCCAAAUACCCAAUACAUAGUAAGUAACUUAAGAAUAACAGAAUCACUCUAAGGGACCUUAGAGAUCACUUCUGCUUGCUCUUAUUUGACAGAUAAGAGAAAAGGAAGUUCUGGGAAGUAACUAAGAUCAUAGAGCCAGUUAAAAGCAGAGCUGGAACUAGAAUCCUGUCUCCUAGUUCCUAGUGUAACACUCUAUUAAGCCACUGGGGGCAUUAUAUCACCAAAUAAAAAUUAUAAGUAUAUGGAAUUUAUAGGAUUUAUAAGUCACUGAAGUUGCUCAACAAACCCGCCCAUUUAUGUUUCAAUAAAUGCACAACUCCUCUAUUUAAUUUACAGUGGAGUCCAGGAAAGACUCUUCUCAUUUAUUCCUCAUUGAAAACAUUUUAUUUAUUUUUGUAAUUAUUAUUUUUAGCUUUUAAAAUUCAAUUUACUUAGUAGGACUUUUUAAAAAAGAUAAUUCAUUCUUCACCUGGUUCAAAAUAAUACAAAAAAAUCAAAAUAAUACAAAAAAGUCUACUUUCUCUUUAUAAGUAGCCAUUGUACUAGUUUCUUAUGUAUCUUUCAGUGUUUCUUUAUGUAAAUAUAGGCAAAUAUGAAUGUAUAAUCUUGUUUCUUCCAUUACUCAGGAAGAUGGCAUAUUAUUUAUACUCUUCUAAUACCUUGCUGUUUUCAUGAAGGAAUAUAAUCUUUAGAGAUAUCCACAUCCUAACAUAGAACUUCUUCAUUCCUUUUAUAAGUGAAUAGAAUUUUAUUUGUUCAUACUCCAUAGUUUAUUUAACAAACUCCUAUAGAUGAAAAAACUCACUAUUUUAAAAUGUUACAUGUUCUGUUUCAUUCUUCUCCCCAGUUUAGUCCAAGUUAAGUUCCUUCUGUUUAAAAGCUAACAGCUUUCAUAUGAGCUAGGAAACAAGGUGUGGGCAACCAGAAUUGCACAUAAUUCUUCUACAGAGAAAUGGAGAAGUAAUGGGUGGUAUUUUUCAGUUUAGUGUAUUUGCUUCUAUCACAUAUUCUUACACCUGACGUCUCAAACUGUUUGUGUCACUACUUAAGGCUAAUUGUGGGUAUUAUAAAAAAUCUUACAUUUCCUCAAGAGUAUUUUCUAUUGUGUCUUGAGGUUAAAUUAUUUCCAAGAGAAAUAGCUACAGAUUUGUGAGUGAAGUUAAGAAAAAUAUAGUAGACUCGAGUUUGAAGUAAAAUCAACUUCUCAAGUAAAUACGUAUUCCAUAAAGUGAUAUAAUACAUAUUCUAUAGUAUUCUGAGUUUAUAAAUAUCUUAAAUGCCUCUCCAUUUAAGAUACUGAGAAAAGUUGGCCGGGCGCGGUGGCUCACGCUUGUAAUCCCAGCACUUUGGGAGGCCGAGGCGGGCGGAUCACGAGGUCAGGAGAUCGAGACCACGGUGAAACCCCGUCUCUACUAAAAAUACAAAAAAAAAAAAAAAAAAUUAGCCGGGCGUGGUGGCGGGCGCCUGUAGUCCCAGCUACUCGGAGAGGCUGAGGCAGGAGAAUGGCGUGAACCCAGGAGGCGGAGCUUGCAGUGAGCCGAGAUUGUGCCACUGCACUCCAGCCUGGGCGACAAAGCGAGACUCCGUCUCAAAAAAAAAAAAAAAAAAAAAAGAUACUGAGAAAAGUCGAAAGUGCUUAAGCACUUGUAGUAAUCUUUGUCUUUUAUUGCCUUAAAAAUUUUGUAAAGGAAACCAAUUACGAACAGACAUAACUGUGAAUUAUAUAUGGUUUCAUAGACACUUAACACUUGGAGCCCUGAGACCCAUUGUAGGCAUCUGCAAACAACAGCAACAACAAAGUGGGAUGGAAAGAAAAAAGAACAAAAUAUGAGAACAUAAAAAAGAAUCAGACAGAAGGUAAAAUUAGAUGCUAAAACUCUAGAUUAGGCAAAAAAUGUUGACCAAAGGAAAAAUAAAAAGAUAGAUGCAGAGACAGAGUGUUGCCAAGAAACAUGCUUCAUCUUCAUAAUAAUUAUUAGAAAUCUCUCUUAUUUAUCAACUGGUCCAAGUUUUUAGAUACUAUUGUCUUAAGCAGUGAAAAUAAUCUUACUGCCUUUUACUACUCACACUUUUUAUUACUUUCCAUAAAAUGGAGGAUAGGGAGAAAAGCAUAGUCUAUAAACCACUGUGAUUUUUAGAUCUCCUUAAACCUAUCCCCAGUUUUCUAUGCCAGCUGCCAAUGGGCAGUGUUGAAAGCACUAUUUCUUGAUGAUACCUGCACUAGAAUCACCUGGGUUGUUUGUUUGAACUGCAGUUUUCUGAGCCCCACCCCAGACCUACUGAAUCAGUUUCUGAGGCAGAGCCUGAAAAUCUGUAUCUAAUUAGCAUAGCAUAUCAGUGGUCCACACACAUAAGGUAACUAUAUAAUUUAUUGUCCAAUCUGGGACACUUGAAAAUGAAAAGGAGUGCUGUUAAUAAUUACACCAAGACAACAGGUAUAAACCAGGAGGUAUGGUCCCCAUACCAAUAAUUUUUGCAAUAGGCAAUAUUUUUUCAACCAAGGAUAUAGAAGAGACAGAGAAUCAGAAAGAUUACAGUGUUCUGUCAUGAAAGCUAAGGCAGAAUAUAUAUGAAAAAGGCUGUUGGAGACUUAGGUGUAGCCACCUAGCCUGAGGUAACCCCCAGUAAUAGAUCUAUUGAAUUAGGAAAGAAAGGAUGGGAUAAUAUGUCUGCACAAACAAAACAGAGGGCCCCGCAUCCCGCCCCCAUUAAGACGAACUCAUUGUUAUCAUAGCUAGUUACCUAAGAUGAACCUAUUGAGUGAAUGGUUUACCAGACAAGAUGGACAACGUCCUGGAAGCACAGGAGUGUUUCAGUGGUAUAGGGACCGAUGGAGUACAGUGUUCAACCUUAUACUGUAGAAGAAAGUGAGAAGAUAGAGUACUGGAUCAGAGCUUGCAGUGUUAAGGCAAACAGUGAACCAUUUUAAGCAGGUAGUCGGGUGAAGGGGAAGGGGGCAGAUAUUGUACCAAGUAGUUUCAUAAUUUAUCACAUUCACUCCACAUCAUUUGUUGGCUGUGGAGAGGAGUCCUCUUGCCACUUGAUGGUACCAAAGACAGCUGACCCUGCCUUAAGCGUGUCAAUAGAUCUUCAUAGCUAUUCAGCAAUUGCCUCAAGAUCAUUGACUGCAGGCGUGGGGGUGGGGAUGGUGGCCUCCCCUCAUCACCCCUGACUUCUGCUAAUUCAUUGUAGAGGGGUAUGUAGUCAGGGAUCUGUAAGCCCCAAACUUGCUAGUGGUUAAGUUACUCGGGGGGACCUGAUUUACUUAAAUGGGUUUAAAGCAAUGGAGAGCAAGCCAACAUCUUCCCCUUUUUCCUCAGGUGGGUGUUGAUUAUUGCAUUUGACCCUUGGGGGCAGAGUGAAGGUAACUGGACAAUUUGUGUGGUACAGAUAAUACCAGACCUGGGGUUGGUUGGUUGGUUGAUUUUUUUGUUUGGAAAGCCCUUUAUCUUCUGAGAGACAUGACCAGGGCUGUGGGAGGAGCUCUGAGUGUGCCUGUGCCUAGACUGCUACAUUCCCAUCAGCCAUCCCAGGAGCUUGGUUGGGGUCUGAGGUGCUCGUUGGGGCCGAAUUGAGGAAUCUCCCUGAGGAUAGAGGGAAAGACCCUGAUGCCUGAGACCCCAGAGGACCGGGGACCUAGGACCUAGGGAACGGAGGACGCGGCAGGAUGCAGUGCGAGCAAUCAAGUGUCUUCAGCAGGGGAGAGAGAGAAGUCAGCCCAGAUUGAGUGGCUGUUGGACACAAGAGGUUACGACCCCUGUCGGCCUGAGCCUUUUUGAGGCGGCUUCUGCGCUCACAAAGGCGAGCCAGGUGGUGUGCACAAAUGAACCACUGAGAUUGAUGGGUCCUCCAAAAAUCCUAGAGAGGCGGCAGAGGAGCCGGCCGAAGUGCGUUGGAACAUGGACGUUCUUCAGGUAUCCUGUGCGUUGUGGACCAAGUAUUUCCUUUCUCCUAGAGAACUGUUCAGUUUUUAGUGUCCCGGGACUGUGUGUGUAGGCGGUGUCCUGGUCUCUUCUACCCAUGCAAGAUGCUCUAUACUUUCUCAGCGAUCCAGAGAUCACGGUACUUGGAGGUGGUGCUGUUGCCCCCUUUUCCAGGGCUUGCUCGAGUUCCCCUCUUACGUAGAUCUCUCAGGAUCAGGAUUUUGUGUUUUGUGUCGGCUCCAUCAGACAUUUCAGCGAUGCAUUUCAGAGAUGCAGAGAACUGAACAAAGCGCUGUACAGAGCUGGGUCUGUAUGGAUCACCCUCUUCUGAGAUGAGGGCACAGACUUACCAGCAAGGAGGCCUCACUGGAAUCCAUCAGCUGACAGGUCCUUAUGGCCAAAAGCUGGCUUCCGUAUACUUUUUCUGAAUCCUGCAGCCAUUUUAACCUGAACAGUUUUUUCAGAGUUUUCAUAAAAAUCCCCUAUACUAAUGGUCACAUUGUGUAUCUGUAAAGGAUUAGUACUUAAAAGAAAAAUACUUUACAUGAUCCCCACAAUUCUGCAAAACAGAAGUGGUACGUGAAUUUCUCUGAGUAAGAAAACAUUCAGAAGUUAGCACAUUCAAGUAAGCAUUUAUUGAGUGCCACAUAACGGGCCAGGCUUUAUGUUGCAAAACUGGGAAUAAGCCAGAUAAAAGGCAUUUCUUACUGUAUAGUGUAAUGGGAAAGACAUGUUGCCUUGAGGAAAAUAAACUUCGUACAUAGGGACUUUGGAGGUGGAACGUUAAAGAUAACUUCCCUGAGUAGGCAAUAGCAGAGCUGUCUCUGGACUAUCAGAAGUUGGAUAGCAAAGAAGAAAUGGACCUUGAGGGAUAGUAAUAGUAUGUGAAGGAGGGAUCAGAAAACCAUUUCAGAAAACCGCAAGUAAAUGAAGGUGGGUGCAUUCCAGCCUGGGCAACAAGAGUGGCAGAGGUGGGGCAAAGAGAGUAGAGAGUAACUGAAAUAUGCUGAGGAAUUUAAAGUUUAUAGGGCAGUGUGCUUUUCCAUUUUCUUAAUGUCACAGCACAUGAAGAAAAUUUGUAUGCACACUUCCUGGCCACCCCGGUAGCUGAAGAGACCAGUAUGCCGGUACUCCUAUAAGCCAUUUGAAGCACCCAGUAAACUGUGGCAUUGCACAGUAGUGGGGCAGUUAUAUGCUCUGUCUGGAUUUAAGCAGAGGAGUAAUGUAAUCUUACUAGCUUUCUAGAAAUAUUCUAGAAGUGGUGUGGUGAAUGAAUUGGAAGGGGGCAAAACUGAAAGCAAGAGAGACAAGAGACCUGUAGUUGUUAAAGAAGGAACCAAAACCAUAAGUUGGUGAAAGUAAGUCACUGGCUGUAGAAAUAAAGAGGGCACCAAGUGGAACUGUGUUAAAGAUUACAGAUUUAACUAGACCUGAUAACUAAUUAGAUUGAUGAAAGUGAGAAAGAAAAGGUACUGAGAGCACUUCCUGUCACACACUAAAUACUAUAUAAGUAUUCUUUAAAUAUAAUAAAUGUAGCCAGGGAUAAAUAGGCAGGCUUUUGGAUUAAAUUAUUAGGUAAAUGUGGCACAAUUUUAUAAGAGAUGGCUAAUAUUGGAGAAUAAAUUGGUCACAAGGGGAAAAUGAUGAAGUUUUGGUGGUGAGUUGAAGAUGCUUGUAAGACAUACAAGUGAAAAGGUCUAAUGCACCACUGGACUGUAAGGGCCUGGAGCUCCAAAGAAAGAUUGGUAUGAGAGAAUCAGGCUUAGGAGUUUUCAGGUGAAAGCUGAUGUCAUCGAAUGGUUGAGAUUGCCCAGAAUGAAUAUGGGAUGAGAAUAAGGCUGGAUUUCAAUUUAGGAUACUAAACAUUUUUUUUUCUUGACAGAGUUUUGCUCUUGUUGUCCAUGCUGGAGUGCAGUGGCUUGACCUCGGCUCGCCACAACCUCCGCCUCCUGGGUUCAAGCAAUUCUCCUGCCUCAGCCUCCCAAAUAGCUAGGAUUACAGGCACGCGCCACCACUCCUGGCUAAUUUUGUAUUUUUAGGAGAGAUGGGGUUUCUCCAUGUUGGUCAGGCUGGUCUCGAACUCCUGACCUCAGGUGAUCCGCCUGCCUCAGCUUCCCAAAGUGUUGGGAUUACAGGCGUGAGCCAUCGUGCCCGGCUUGAUACUAGACAUUUUUGACAGGCAGAAUAAGAGCCAAGAAGUAGACUAAAUAAUAGUCAUUAGAAACAUAUUUAACAGGUACUUAUAUAAUACAGUCAUGUGCCACAUAGUGAUGUUUCAGUCAACAGCAGACCACGUGUACAAUAAUAGUUCCGUAAGAUUGUAAUAACAUAUUUUUACUGUAACUUUUCUGUGUUGACACGUUUAGAUAUACAAAUACUUGGCUUUGUGUUAUAGCUGCCUACAAUAUUCAAAACAGAAACAUGCUGUACAGGUUUGUAGCCUAGGAGCAUUAGGUCAUACACUAUAACCUAGGUGUAUAGUAGGCUCUACGAUCUAGGUUUGUAGAAGUACAGUCUAUGAUAUUCUCACAAUGAUGAAAUUGCCUAAAGACACAUUUCUCAGAACAUAACCAUGUGAUUAAGCAAUGCAUAACUGUUCUUCCUCAGUGCCAAGCAUUAGGCUAAACACUACAAAAACCAACUUGUGGAAAAACAACCAGAAGAGCAUAGUGUUUCUUAGAAGAUUGGGAGUAGUUAGCAGUGUUAGGUGCUGCAGGGGCAUCUGGUAGGAAAAGGACUGAAAAAUACCCACUGGGUUUGUGUACCAAGGGGGCCCUGUUUAAUUAACUUGGGACUGAUAAGUCAGAUGUGAGGUCCCCUGACUGACAUGCACACUAUUCUAAAAUUAAAAAUACUUUUGGGCCAGGCACGGUGGCUCAUGCCUGUAAUCCCAGCACUUUGGGAGGCCGAGGCGGGUGGAUCACCUGAGGUCAGGAGUUUGAGACCAGCCUGACCAACAUGGUGAAACCCUGUCUCUACUAAAAAUACAAAAUUAGCUGAGUGUGGUGGCACAUGCCUGUAAUCUCAGCUACUUGGGAGGCUGAGUCAGGAGGAUUGCUUGAACCCAGGAGGCAGAGGCUGCAGUGAGCCGAGAUCGUGCCAUUGCAUUCCAGCCUGGGCAAUUGGAGAGAAACUCUGUCUCAAACAAACAAACAAACUUUUGAAAUCAUCUAGCACAAUUCUUGGCAAAGAGAAGUUGACUUAUACAGGCAUAUGUCAUUUUACUUGCACUUUGCUUUAUUGCACUUCACAGAUACUGUGUUUUCUGCAAAUUGAAAGUUUGUGGCAACCCUGCAUCAAGCAAGUCUGUCAACGUCAUUUUUCCAACAUCAUGUGCACACUUCGUGUUUCUGUGUCACAUUUUGGCCUCCCUGUUCCCUAAGCCACAACAGUAUUGAAAUGAAACCAGUUAAUAACACUACAGUGGCCUCUCAGUGUUCACGUGAAAGGAAGAGUUUCACAUCUCUCUCUUUAAAUCAAAAGCUAGAAAUGAUUAAGCUUAGUGAGGAAGACAGGUUGAAAGCUGAGAUAGGUUGAAAGCUAGGCCUCUUGUACCAAACAGCCAGUUGUGAAUGCAAAAGAAAAGUUCUUGAAGGACGUUAAAGCCACUCCACUGAACACAUGAGUGAUAAGAAAGCAAAACAGCUUUAUUGCUGAUACGGAGAAAGUUUGAGUGAUCUGGAAAGAAGAUCAAACCAGCCACAACAGGCCCUUAAGCCACAGGCUAAUCCACAGCAGGGUCCUAACUUUCUUCAAUUCUGUGAUGGCUGAGAGAGAUGAGGAAGCUGCAGAAAAAAAGUUAGAAGCUAGCAGAGGUUGGUUCAUGAGGUUUAAGGAAAGAAGCUGUCUCCACAAUAUAACAGUGCAAAGUGAAGCAGCAAAUGUUGAUGUAGACACUGCAGCAAGUUAUUCAGAAAACCUAGCUAAGAUAGUGGAUGAAGGUGGCUAUACUAAACAACAGAUUUUUAAUGUAGAUGAAACACUUUAUAUUGGAAGAAGAUAACAUUUUGGAAUUCCAUAACUAGAGAGAAGUCAGUGCCUGGCUUCAAAGGACAGUCUGACUUUCUUGUUAGAGCUAAUGGAGCUGGUGACUUGAAGUUGAAGCCAAUGCUCAUUUACUAAGCUGAAAAUCCUAGAGUCCUUAAGGAUCAUGCUGGCUGGGCAUACUGUAAUCCUAGCACAUUGGGAGGCCAAGUCAGGAGGAUUGCUGAGCCCAAGAGUUUGAGACCAGCCUGGGCAACAUGGAAAAACCCUGUCUCUGCAAAAAAAUACAAAAAUUAGCUGGGUGUGGUGGCACACACCUGUGGUCCCAGCUACUAGGGAGGCUAAGGUGGGUAGAUUGCUUGAGCCUGUGAAGCAGAGGUUGCAGUGAGCCAAGAUUGCACCACUGCACUCCAGCCUGGGUAACAGAGAAAGACCCUGUCUCAAACAAACAAAAAGAAUCAUGCUGAAUCUACUCUGCCUGUGCUCUAAAAAUGGAACAACAAAGCCUGGAUGAUAGCACAUUUAUUUACAACAUGGUUUACUGAAUAUUUUAAGCCCGCUGUUGAGACGUACUGCUCAGAAAAAAAAAAGAUUCCUUUCAAAAUAUUACUGCUCAUUGACAAUGCACCAAGUCACUGAAGAGCUCUGAGGGAGAUGUACAAAAAGGUUAAUACUGUUUUCAUGCCUGCUAACACAGCUAACCAUUCCACAGCCCACAGAUCAAGGAGUAGUUUCAACUUUCAAGUCUUAUCAUUUAAGAAAUACAUUUUGUCAGGGUAUAGCUGCCAUAGAUAGUGAUUCCUCUGAUGGAUCUGAGCAAAGUAAAUUGAAAACCUUCUGGAGAGGAUUCACAUUCUAGAUGCAAUUAAGAACAUUUGUGAUUCAUGGGAGGAGAUCAAAAUAUCAACAUGAACAGGAGUUUGGAAAAAGUUGAUUCCCAUCCUCAUGGAUGACUUUAACAGGUUCAAGGCUUCAGUGGAGGAAAUAACUGUAGAUAUAGUGGAAAUAGCAAGAGAACUAGAAGUGUAGCCUGAAGAUGUGACAGAAUUGCUGCAUUCUUAUGAUAAAAUUUGAAUGGAUGAGAAGUUGCUUCUUAUGGAUAAGUAAAGAAAGUGGUUUCUUGAGAUGAAAUCUACUCCUGGGGAAGAUGCUGUGAAAUUGUUGAAAUAACAGCAAAGAAUUUAGAAUGUCAUAUAAACUUAACGGAUAAAGCAGUGUCAGAGUUUGAGAGGAUUGACUCCAAUUUUCUGUGGGUAAAAUGCUAUUAAACAGCAUCACAUACCACAGAGAAAUAGUUCAUGAAAGGAAGAGUCAAUUGAUGCAGCAAACUUCAGUUUUGUCAUGUUUUAAGAAAUUGCCACAGCCACCUGAACCUUCAGCAGUUAUCACCCUAAUCAGCCAUGAGUCAGCAGACAUUAAGGCAAGACCCUGCAGCCUCAAAAAAAUUAUAACUCACUGAAGAGUCCUGCAUUUUUUAUAGCAAUAAAGUAUCUUUCAAUUAAGGUAUGUGCAUUUUUUAGACAUGCUACUGCACACUUAAUAGACUGUCAUGUAGUGUAAACAUAACUUUUAUAUGCACUGGAAAGGCAAAAAAAUUGUGUAACUCACUUUAUUGUAAUAUUUGCUUUUUUGCAGUGGUCUAGAACCAAAUCUGCAGUAUGUCCAAUGUAUGCCUGUAAAUGUUAAUUGACCCAUCUGACAUGCAAUAUAAGCAUGCCAAGUUGUGUGCAUUACUUUUUGCACCUAUUGUUUUUGAUAAUCAUCUGAAUAUUUCACUGAAUUUUCUAGAUCUAAAAGCUAAUAGUGUCUUAUUCUUUACUCUCGAAGUAACUAAAAUGUCUUUUAGUUAAUUUUAUGUCAUUUUUUGCUUAUUUAUCUUUCACAGAAAAUUUUUUUUUACCUUCAAAUCAUUGCCUUGAUACAGCCAUUCACUCUGAGUAAAUAUGUUCCAGUUUGGAGUUGAUCUUCUUUAACAAUGAUGUGUUAUGCCUUAGCAUCAGCCUGAAGCAUACGCACUACUGCAGUGAGCCAGUCUUCUGAGCUGUUUCACCCAGGAAUGCAUUCAGACCAACUGCAGAAGAACGAAAGAAGUGUCAAAUAGUUAAAGAAUCUAGCCCGCACAGAAAGGGAGCUUCUGGUCAGGAGUUCUUCAGAAAGGGUACUAUGGGUAUUUACUUGGGCCUCAAGGGUCCAGCUUCAGGUUCUUUGCCAUCAGUGGUGGAGACCAGUGAUACACAGCAAGGAACACAUCUUGGAACUACUGAUCCUGACCAUCCUGCCCAAGAACUCCAGGCCUGGGUAUAGGAGCAUCCCAGAGUAUAGGGAAGAGGCUGUCUAUACUGAAGAACUUAGAGAGGAAGCUAAAUGAUCUGGGAGGAAAGGUAAAAUGAAGAAAUAUCUUAUCAGGUAGCAGGUAUUAUCUCCAGAGAGAGAUAAGAGAGUUGAGAUAAUUUCUCUAGGGUGGUUAGAGAAAAUGGCUAACAUGUUACUGGCCAGAGUUAUUUAUUUUUGUUCUAGUUUGGUGAGUUUUUUUAACUUGUAGGCCCUGUGUAUUUUCCCCUCUUUGUCCGUUUAUCCCUGCCCUUGCAGAUAACAGAAAACUGCUUUCUGCCCUCCCAUCAUGUGUUGCACAGUAAUAAUGGGAUUUUAAGCUCUAACUUUCAGCAAAUGUCACCCUCAUUAAACUCUAUCUAAUUGUCCCCAGUUCCCCACCAUCCUACAGGGGACAAGAAGUGUCCGAACGCAAGUAGUGUAUCUGGCAGCCUCAUAGGACUCACCUGGAGUCCGGCUCCAGCCAGUAAAGGGUCAACUCAGCUCUGAAUGUUGGCAGUUUCACACUGUUAAGGAGAACGUUGAGGAGGAGAUAGCAAAGAAAAAGUUAGGAAAUGUUGGUGUCUUUUUGCAUUUUUCCAAAUGAACCUUGUCACUAAAAUCUCUGCAUAUCUUUCAUUUAAUCUCUUGCCUAUUCCACUUUUAACCUGUUCCUCUAAGCAUACCACUUUAACCUGGAUUAUGAUUCUUUUCUUUCUUUACUUCUUUGCCUUAAAAUUGUUUUUUUUUUUAAAUCCUGCUACUCAUGUUACCUUGCAUGGUUCAGUUUCUCCCUUCUAAUACUGCCAACUUCCUUAACCCAGACCCCUUAUCACAAAGACAGGAGAAUGUUUUCUAUAUUGAAGCCAAUAGAAAACUACUAAAAGGCUACAUGCAAUAAGUAAAUUUUUAAAUGUACAUUUUUUAAAUGAGUGUAGGAAACAUAAAACUUUAGUAGGUGCAUGCUUACUGGGAAAGCACGCAUACAUGCUAAAAUGUCAUACUGUACAUAUUGUUUAUUACUUGUUUUUUAGUUUAAUAUUACAUUACAGACAUCUUUUCAAGUUACAUAUAAUACCUAUAUGUAGCUGACAUACAUUUCACUGCAAGGGUAUUGAAUUAUUUUGUAACUGGCCUUAGAGGGUUUUUACAUUGCUUCUUUUUUCUUUUUUUUUUUUUUAAUACUACCAACUAAAAGCCAUAAACUCUUUUCUUUUUCUUUUUUUCUUCACUCUGUACUAUGAAAAAAGUUUAAGCAUAUAUAAAAGUACAAUUGUACUACUUUUAAUAAAUCCCCACGAACCUGUCACCCAGCUUCAACAUUAUCAGAUUAUGGCCAAUCUUGUUUCAGUUAUAAUGCUAUUCAUAUCCCAUGCUUUUUUAUAUAUAUAAUUUUAAAGCAUAUCUGAGCUAGCAUAGUCUUUCAAAUGUAAAUAUUUCAAUAUUUGCUGUAAAAGAUAUGAAUUUUAAAAAUGUAAACAUAACACUAUUUUCAUACCUAAACAAUUAACAGUAAUUCCUUAAUAUCAAUUUUCCAGUUUUCCCAAAGAUGUCAUAAACUUUUUUUUCAUUUUUUUCAUUUUGUUUUUUAAUUUAUUUGAAUCAAGAUCCAACAUUGUGAUGGGUUGAUAUGUCUCCUAAGUUUCUUUUAAUAUACGGGUACCCUCUCCUGUUUUCUCUUCCCUUACAACUCACUUGUUAAAGAAAAUGAAGUUGUUUGUCUUGUGGAGUUGCACACAGCCUGGGUUUUGCUGUCUGCAUCAUGUGCUAUAGUCUAAGAUGUUCUGUUGUCUUCUGUAUUUUCUGUAAAUUGUAGUAAUGUACAGCCUUGAUCAAAAUCAUGUUUUAAGUUUUCUUGACCAGAUAAAUUUAAUGAUUUUGGCAAGAUGAUGUGUUCUAUUUGAAGCCUAUAUUUUCUGUUUGUCUCUUUUUAUGUGGUGUUAGCAGCUAUUGAUCCUCAAUACCUAUAGCCAGUAAUCCAUUAGGGGUCCCAAAACGGUGACAUUCUAAUUGUAUCCUUCUUUCUUCAUUUAAUAAAGCUGGAAUAGUUAUAUAAAGAGACAUUUCCCCUGAUUUUCUGUUUAGUUAUUCAAUGGUUUGUUUAGGAAACGCAAGAUAAUUGCUUAAGUCACUCCCCACUACCUUGCUUUUUAAAUCAGUUUUCAAAACAAUGAAUUAGUUUGUAAUCAUCCUUUAAAACAGUGGCCAGUUGUUAGUAAUAGUAUCAUUAGGAACUCUUGGAUUGAAGCAUUAUUUGAUGUUUUUCAGUCCAUAAUACUAUCCUUACUAAAGCUCAUUUGUCUCCUCUUUGAGCAGUAGAAACCUUUUCAAUUUGGCAUGUGAAUCCUUAAUGACAUGAACCUAGACAUCUUUGAUAGUUUUCUUGCUGACCUGUAUGAUAAGAUGUACCAGGCCCAUCUUAUGGUUUUCCUUACAUAGUCCUAGAAUUAAUACUUUUUCCAAGGACCCCUGAUUCUGCCUAAUGGGAAAUGGUAUUUCAAAACCAAAAAUAGGGCAUUAGGAGUGCUUAUGGCUUAGUCAUUGGUACUAAGCCUUUCCAGUACUCAGAGUUAGGAAAAAAUUUAAAAGAAAGUGUGUAUCAUGAGUUCACACUGAUAGUUGUAAUUCACAUUUACUACUUCAGGGUCUUAAUCUCUUAUCUUCAUCUGUAUCUCCUUUUAGAGGAUUCUCAAAGACACCAGGAAUGAUAGAACAUCAAACAAUUACUCAUUUACUGUCCCACAAUAUAUACACAAUAGCCUCAUAAUAAAAAACAUCAGCAUUACCCACAAAUAUGAUUACUGUAAAUAGCUUAAUGGUGGCGUGUGUGUGUGUAUACACAUGUUUUCUAUUCUUUUUAUUCUUAAGAUAUAUCUCACUUGGGCUAUACAAAAAAAAUUUACUGCUUUAAGGACAUAUGAAAUAAUUACUCUUUUAUGUGGUUAUGCCACCAGUGGAUAUACAUGUAAGUUCCUUCUGUUAUCUCUUUCUUCUGGCAUGUAGUUCUAAAAAGUGAGCAAGUGAUUGAGUAAAGUAUAUGUGAAUGAGUGAAUUAUGCUGACAUUUUCAGUCUCUUCUUUCAGAUGAUUUGAUCAAAAUGAAGAAUGAGAAUGUUCUUCCCAAGCAAAAGAAAUGAAGAAAUAACAUGCCAACAGGAAAACAGUGUCAGAUUUGAUGGCAGUAUUCCUGAGAACUUUGUGUAGAUGUCCAAAUGUAUGAGGAAAGACUAGGAAAAUAUCCAGAAAAUACCACAGUGAUGAAUGUGGAAUAAUUUUUGCUCAGAACUCUGUCCUAAUUCAGCAUCAGAAAUUCACACUGGUGAGGAUUCCUAUGAAUGCAACAAGUAUGGGAAAGCCUUUACUCAAGAGUGUAGGCUUCAUGCAAAUAAGAGAAUUCACACUGGAGUUAGAUAUAUAAAUGAGAAGAAUAUGGGAAAGCUUUCAGUGCAAACACUGUACUUAUUCAUCGUAAGAGAAUCCAUAAUGGAGAGAGACCCUAUAAUAAAUGUGACAAGUGCAACAAAGCCUUUGGCCAGUGGUCAGUCCUCAACCAGCACCAGAGGCUUCACUCCAGAGAGAUAUGUUACUACCAGUGUAACAAGUGUGAUAAAGUUCACAGUCAGAAUUCAGCUUUUUCAUCAUAUCAGAAUCCAUAUUGGAGAGAAACCCUUUCAGUGUAAUCAGUAUAGUAAAAUUUCUCUUUAACGUUCAUUCCUUAUUCAACACCAGAGAAUCCACUCAAAAGAGAACUUAGGAAGUUGAUAAAUAUGACGGAACAGGCUUUGCAUAAUAGCUCCUCACCUGACAUUGAAAUUUUGUGAGUGUCCAGCAUCUGAAAUUGGCAAGGCAGAAUUUCUUCCCACCAGACCUUGAACUUGGUUUGGAUGAGAACUGGCCCUUCAAAGUGGUCCCCACCAAAAUCCUGUCAUUUAAUGGAACAAACCAUUUACUUUUCCCCUAACCGCUAAUCAAAUAAAACACUUUUGUCAUUCAAGGAGUGGCCUGUGGACCACCAGUUCAGUUUCCAGAUGUUUUACUAGUUGUUCCAAAAGACAGUUCUCACGAAAGCUUAGACUGUUGUUUAAUAAUACUUUUUAGUGAAAACUUAAGUUGUACAUAAAAUACAAAUAAGAAUAUUAGAUGAUUAAUGUAUUUUAAAUGUAGCUGCAGUGAUGAUAAUUUGUCAAGUCAAACAUGUUCAGCAUCCUUUUAGGGACAGCACAGUGAAUUCUUGGGCCUUCCAUUCCUAUCUGAGUUCUGAUGUAUAACAUGUACCUCCCAGCCAAGACUCUAAACAAGAAAGAUGCUUUUUUUUUCCCCUCUCUCUGUCUCUUAGAGACCGGAUCUUGUUAUGUUACCCAGGCUACAGUGCAGUGGUACAAUCAUAUAGCUCACUGUAACCUCGAACUCCUGAGCUCAAGCAGUUCUCCUGCCUCAGCCUCUUGAAUAGUGAAUCUAUGAGGUCAGUGCUGUCCUCAUUCCCAUUUUGUACAUAAGAAAUCUGAAGAGAGGUUUUGAACAACUGCACAGCAAGUAACAAAGUUGCUAUUCAAAACAGUGUGACUUCAAAACUGGCACUCUUGCUUCUAAUUCUGUCACCCACGUUGUGGAAGAGGUUUAGACCCUUUUUACUCAAAGUGGUCAGAAGAUCAGCAGCCCUGGCAUCACCCCAGACCAACUGAAUCAGAAUCUGCAUUUUAACAAGAUCCCCAGUUGAUUGUUAUAUACCUUAAACCUUGGAAAACACUGCUCUGCCCUAUUUUCUAGAUUUCCCCAUGAAAAACCUCACAAGUAUACUGUUUUUAAUUGCCAAAAGUAUGUGAACUAUUGAACAAAAUCUCUUAGGUUGGUUAAAGAACAAAUAAAUUGUUCUACUUCAUGAAACUUUUUUUUGGAGGCACAGGGGGAAAAAGUUUAUCAAGAUAGUUCCCAAUUACAAACGUGCCUAGCACUAAAACCUAUUGUGAACAAUUUGGAAUUUACAUCUUUAUUUUUUUUUAAAGCUUCUAAAAUAUUUUCAGAUGUUCUCCAUUAAUCAUUACAACUCUGUGAACUAGUUAUUGUCUGUUUUCUACAGAUAAAGAGGCUAAGAAAGGUAAAGGUUUAUUUAAUGUUAGAAAGUAAUAAGCCAGAGUGAGAACUGGUUUAAGUUCAGUGGAUUCCAGGUCAGUAUUCUGCAGUCCAGAUCAAACAAUUCAGCAGCGUCUAUAAAUUCCUAGAACAUAGGCUGUGAGCAACUGAAGACAUGUAAAAAAGGUUGAGUGCCUAUUGUAUGCACAAUACUAUGCAAAAUGCAAUAAUAUCUUGCUAAAUUUUGAAAGCAAUGUGAAUUGGGUAUGUCAAAGCCAUGAAGGAGGGGUACCAAAUAAUUUGGUUUCUCUUGCCAUUUAAAGUGGAUUUUUCCUCCCAGAAUCAUGAGAGUGUAUACAUUUUACCUACUGAGUGAACACUGAUAAGUAGCACAGGAAGUUGAACUUAUGUUUUAUUUAAUCAGUUACUAACUAAAGUGAUUGAUUUAUGAUUAAAUUGACUAAUUUCAUAUUUGAGUAUUUCUGUAUCUCACAAGUUGUUUUAUUAGCUGUGCAUUUCAAAGUUCUUGUUAAUUGAUGAAAACGUUUUGCCUUCUAGAAUAAUUCUCCAAACUACCACUUUUUCUGUUACUUCCACACCUAAUUAGGGACUACUCAUUUGAGUUAAAUGAAAACGAUUUGAACAACUAUGUGUAGUAUAAUGUGAGCUGCUACAGGGUUGCAAAGAUAAACAUGGUGUGAUGCCUGCCUUUCAGGAAAUCUAAGUUAUAGUAUAUGAGAGUCAAUAUUAAUAAUUACAUUUGCUUUGAAAGUCCUUUCAAUUAUAUUACUAAUCUGAUCUGUCAUUACAGUGCGUUGGUAGUUAUAUCUCCUCGCCUAGGAGUAGGUCUCAGUCUAUGCCACGUGGGAUGACUGAAAAAGGACUGGAAAAUCCAGUCUUACUGGUUUGAAGAACCAAAGGACAGAGUUUAGGGGAUCCCAGCAACUGGAAAGGGAGUGGGGUGGGAAUCCUAGGAAGGCAAAAAACAGAUAAGGGGAGCCCCAAGUUCUAUAUAUAAAAUCCACCCAGAUUUCCCCAUGGUUCCUGAACCAUGCAUCACAGAGUAGAUUUCAAGUAGCUUAGCUGUGGCUAAAAUGUCAACUUAGGUUUCAGCUGCCAUCCACUACGGGAGUGACAAUUUAAAGUUAUCUACCUACGGCCAGGCGCGGUGGCUCACACCUAUAAUCCCAGCACUUUGGGAGGCUGAGGCGGGCGGAUCAGCUGGGGCAGGAGUUCAAGACCAGCCUGGCCAACAUGGUGAAACCCCGUUUCUACUAAAACUACAAAAAUUAGCCAGGCGCCUAUAGUCCCAGCUACUCAGGAGGCUGAGGCAGGAGAACAGCUUGAACCCGGGAGGCGGAGGUUGUGGUGAGCUGAGAUUACACCACUGCACUCCAGCCUGGGAGACAAAAGCAAGACUCCAUCUCAAAAAAUAAAUAAAUAAAUAAAUAAUAAAGUUAUCUACCUGCUUAAAAAUACAAAACUCAAUACUCUUUGGAAGAAUAUAACAGAAUGCAGAGAGCCUACAACAUAUUCCCUUUUCCAGGGCUGCAUCCAAAAUUAGUGUAUUAAAAUUAGUAAAUUGUGGUUAAUUUUCAAGAGAAAAUAGAAACCACCUAUAAGAUGACCAAGUUGUAACAUGUGAAGUGUAAAAAUCCACAUGGAAACUUAUGUUUCUGAAAUCCUUAGGUGACAAAUAUAUUGAGCACAUAUUGGAUACCAUCAUCUCAUUAUUAAUCCCUUUUAGAUUAGGGAUUCCCUUUCCUCAAGGAAUACACAUUUUAGGGAGAGAGAACCGACAAACACAGAAGUAUUGAUAAUUUUAGGUACUGAUAAAUGCUAUAAAGAAAAUAGGAUGUUGUUAUGGUGACUGGAGUGUGGUUAAAGGCUACUUUAUGGUAAUCAGGAAAGGCCUCUAUUAAGAGCUUAAUAAUUGACUGUAUACUGUUUUUAAACCUCACAAAUUUAUUUUUUUAAUGUUCCCAGACAAUGAUAAGCAAGUUUAUUUUUUAAAGUACAGACACUUUAAGCAUAUUAAAGGCCUUUAAAAGGCCUUUAAAAAUCAGCACAAUCAUUGGCUUUCAAACUGUUGUCCAGAACCUCAGGUGACUCCUCAGAUGUUACCUGGCAGUCAGCCAUGGGCAGGAUCAGGUCAGUCAAGCAGGGUUCUGGCAUCCAGCCCCCUUUGCUUCACCUGAGGAAAGGCUCUGCUUUUUUUUAGGAACUUAUUCAAAUUCCUAAAAAUGGUUUUUGCCAAUUGCAGUAGCUCACACCUGUGAUCCUGGCAUUUUGGGAGGCCAAGACAGAAGGAUCACUUGAGUCUAGAAGUUCUAGACCAGUGUGUGCAACAUAGUAAGACCCCGUCUCUAAAGAAAAUUUAAAAAUUAGCUGGUCAUGGUGGCGCAUGUCUAUAGUCCAGCUACUCUGCAGGUUUAGGUGGGAUUGCUUGAGCCCAGAAGGUGAGGCUGCAGUGAGCUGUGAUCGCACCACUGCACUCCAGGCUGGGUGACAGAGCAAGUUCCUAUUUAAAAAAAAAAAAAAAAAGAUAGAAAAACAAUUAUUUUACUGGUCUAUAGAAAGGAAGGGGGAAUGGGAUUAAAAUCUAAUGGCCUAAUUUCUUGUUUCAUAGGUUACAAAAUAGACUCAGAGUUUAGGUGACUUGCUCGAGGUCAAUUUUUUAGUUGGAGACAAAAUGAGGACAAAAUAAUUGAGACCCCAGUCUGGUGCAUAUUCCAUGGCAACCUUGUCUCCAUAUUCAUCAACCAUGGCUAGUGAGUCUUCUCAUUUUUGAGCCUGAUUGGGUUUCUAUUGUCUUUUUUUUUUUUUUUUAAAGAUGGAGUCUUACUCUGUCACGCAGGCUGAAGUGCAGUCGAGCAAUCUCCACUCACUGCAACCUCCAUCUCCUGGGUUCAAGUGAUCUCCUGCCUCAGCCUCCCGAGUAGCUGGGAUUACAGGCAAGCACCACCAUGCCCAGCUAAUUUUUGUAUUUUUAGUAGAGACACAGUUUCACCUAUGUUGGCUAGGCUGGUCUCAAACUAUCAGGCCACCCAAAGUGCUGGGAUACAGGCAUGAGCCACCUCACCCAGCCAGGUUUCCAUUGCCUUUCAUACAUUAUUUCACUUCCAUUUCCUUAAAAAUUUCUUAUUUUGGUGAAAUUACUACUUUUUUAAAAAAAAUUUGCUUUAUCACAAUGUAUACUGCUUCUAUGGUCUGAAUGUUUGUAUGUCCCCAAAAUUCAUAUAUUGAAACCUAAUCAGUCAUCACUGUGAUGGUGUUAGGAAGUGGGGCCCCUUGGAGAUACCCUUUUAAAUAAGAUUAGUGCCCUUAUAAAAAAAAAACGGCCACAAAGAGUUGCCAUACCCUUCCACUGUGUGAGGACAUAGCAAGAAGGCACCAUCACUGACCGUUGCCAGACACCAAAUCUGCUGGUGCCUUCAUCUUGGACUUCUCCACUUCCAGAACUGUGAGAAAUAAAUGUUUGUUGUUUAUACAUCA